GGGGUUGUGGCUCAGCGGUAGAGCAUUCAGUUAGCACAUGCAAGGCCCUGAGUUUAAUCCUCAGCAUCACAU
RNAcentral lists this transfer RNA (72 nucleotides) under Marmota monax (woodchuck). Its description in RNAcentral is "tRNA.Ala". Lineage: Eukaryota; Metazoa; Chordata; Mammalia; Rodentia; Sciuridae. The record is from RNAcentral.